GGCUGUUGCUGAAGGGGAGCAGCUGUCAUGGCUCUCAGAGAAGAGACUCAUGUUGCAGAGCCUGGAAUGUCUGCAGCGAGCAAUUGCAAAGCUGGAAGAUGAAAAGGUGGAGCUCAAGCAACAAAACACUGAACUCAGGAGGACUCUUGAGCAGGUGGAGCACGAACGGAGGAGACUGAAGAGAUGUUUUAGGGGUCGGUUACUCCCAGAUGCCUCUGGAUUUUCUCUCUCUGAGUCUGAGCAGUACAAUUUUCCUACUUCUAGACAGGAGGAGUCUCAUGCUCACUGCAGCCAGCGCUUAGCUGAGUUACAGAACCAGGUGAGGAGUAGGAAAAAUCACCAAAGGCUGCUGUGGCUGUACUCACAGGUACACCUGUCAUGCUGCUACA
Cyanistes caeruleus (blue tit) is the source of this 389-nucleotide non-coding RNA. NCBI's taxonomy places the organism in Eukaryota, Metazoa, Chordata, Aves, Passeriformes, Paridae. The record is from RefSeq and is a predicted model, not a curated record.